GCUGAUGAGGUGAGCGCGUGCGGAGCUCGUGGCAUAAGAUGGAGGCGCGCCGCGGGGAGGGCGUCUGCUACGGCCGGCGAGGAGCGAGUCUUGCAGCAGGGAGGCAGCGCUACAUGGAGGAAUAUGUGUAAGGAAUAAUGCUGCUGGGCUAAACCUCAUGCCAGUAUUUGUGUGACACUGUGGGACUUUACGGUCAUUGCUGCGUUUCAGACCAGGGCACAGUUAGCUAAGCAGAGUGACCUGAUUCAUGCUGGAUCAACAUGUUAUCAACUUGAGGUUGUCACUACAAA
Long non-coding RNA from Tympanuchus pallidicinctus (lesser prairie-chicken), 290 nucleotides. RefSeq lists it as uncharacterized. The record is from RefSeq and is a predicted model, not a curated record. The transcript has 3 exons. Lineage: Eukaryota; Metazoa; Chordata; Aves; Galliformes; Phasianidae.